RNAcentral lists this microRNA precursor (125 nucleotides) under Gossypium raimondii (Peruvian cotton). Its description in RNAcentral is "miR7504n stem-loop (gra-MIR7504n)". It matches the Rfam family "MIR7504 microRNA precursor family". Lineage: Eukaryota; Viridiplantae; Streptophyta; Magnoliopsida; Malvales; Malvaceae. The record is from miRBase by way of RNAcentral.
CAAUAGUUUUAUGCCAUAUUAGCAUUUUCAUCUUGAAUUUCAGCAUUUUCAUCCUGAAAAAAAUUAAAUCCAAAUUAAAAUCCUUAAAUUCAGGAUAAAAUUACUGAUGUGGCAUAAAAUUAUUA